Operophtera brumata (winter moth) is the source of this 72-nucleotide transfer RNA. It matches the Rfam family "tRNA". From Rfam's summary of the family: Transfer RNA (tRNA) molecules are approximately 80 nucleotides in length. Their secondary structure includes four short double-helical elements and three loops (D, anti-codon, and T loops). Further hydrogen bonds mediate the characteristic L-shaped molecular structure. tRNAs have two regions of fundamental functional importance: the anti-codon, which is responsible for specific mRNA codon recognition, and the 3' end, to which the tRNAs corresponding amino acid is attached (by aminoacyl-tRNA synthetases). tRNAs cope with the degeneracy of the genetic code in two manners: having more than one tRNA (with a specific anti-codon) for a particular amino acid; and 'wobble' base-pairing, i.e. permitting non-standard base-pairing at the 3rd anti-codon position. The record is from Rfam. NCBI's taxonomy places the organism in Eukaryota, Metazoa, Arthropoda, Insecta, Lepidoptera, Geometridae.
GGGGAUAUAGCUCAGUGGUAGAGCAACCGACUGCAGAUCGGUAGGUCCCCGGUUCAAACCCGGGUGUCCCCU